GCCUGGGUGGCUCAGUUGGUUAAGCGUCCGACUUUGGCUCAGGUCAUGAUCUCACAGUUCGUGGGCUCGAGCCCCGCACCAGGCU
This 85-nucleotide transfer RNA is filed under the name Felis catus (domestic cat). It matches the Rfam family "tRNA". From Rfam's summary of the family: Transfer RNA (tRNA) molecules are approximately 80 nucleotides in length. Their secondary structure includes four short double-helical elements and three loops (D, anti-codon, and T loops). RNAcentral also lists the same sequence under 1 other name. The record is from Rfam by way of RNAcentral. Lineage: Eukaryota; Metazoa; Chordata; Mammalia; Carnivora; Felidae.